Long non-coding RNA from Pyrgilauda ruficollis (rufous-necked snowfinch), 267 nucleotides. RefSeq lists it as uncharacterized. NCBI's taxonomy places the organism in Eukaryota, Metazoa, Chordata, Aves, Passeriformes, Passeridae. The transcript is spliced from 2 exons. The record is from RefSeq and is a predicted model, not a curated record.
UCGCGGCCUUAUUAUUUCUGGCGUCUGGCCAGCCGCCUCUCCCAAGGUGCAGUCUCUGCAUUAACUGUAAGAAUCUGGCUUCGCCCGUGGCUAUGUCAGAGAAAAGUCCGGCUAAAGCCACUCCAAUCAUCUCCUCCAUCUCGGGUGCUCUAUCUGCUGGCAUUCUUUCACUUACUCAAACCUUCUUCAUCUUUCCCAUCCUCCAUCCCUUCUCAAUUUCCAGCUGAGGAGGAUUAGUGUUUUUACAGCUUCUAUUGUUUCAACACU